RNAcentral lists this ribosomal RNA (2515 nucleotides) under Anoplocopea lusitanica. RNAcentral's name for it is "partial 18S small subunit ribosomal RNA". It matches the Rfam family "Eukaryotic small subunit ribosomal RNA". The record is from RNAcentral. Lineage: Eukaryota; Metazoa; Arthropoda; Malacostraca; Isopoda; Sphaeromatidae.
UACCUGGUUGAUCCUGCCAGUAGUCAUAUGCUUGUUUCAAAGAUUAAGCCAUGCAUGUCUAAGUACAAAACUUUCCUAAGUCGAAACCGCAAAUGGCUCAUUAAAUCAGUCAUAAUUUACUGGAUUUUGUAAAUCCUUACUCGGAUAACUGUGGUAAUUCUAGAGCUAAUACGUGCAAUUGAGCUCGGAACCCUUAGCCAUUCGUGGUGAAAGGGGGAAGGGCGCAGUUAUUAGAUUCAAAACCGAGCGGGCUCAUUUGAUUGAGCACCGUCUCCCUUUCGGGGGAGUUUUGAUGACUCUGAAUAACCCUUAGCCGAGCGUUGAGGCCUAGAGCCGGCGCCGUAUCCUUCGAGUGUCUGCCUUAUCAGCUGUCGAUUGUAGGCUAUACGCCUACAAUGGCUGUAACGGGUAACGGGGAAUCAGGGUUCGAUUCCGGAGAGGGAGCCUGAGAAACGGCUACCACAUCUAAGGAAGGCAGCAGGCACGCAAAUUACCCACUCCUGGCUCUGGGAGGUAGUGACGAUAAAUAACGAUGCGGGACUCAUCCGAGGCCUCGCAAUCGGAAUGAGACUAGUCUAAACCUUUGGACGAGGAUCCAUUGGAGGGCAAGUCUGGUGCCAGCAGCCGCGGUAAUUCCAGCUCCAAUAGCGUAUAUUAAAGUUGCUGCGGUUAAAAAGCUCGUAGUUUGACCUUAGACUCGUACCGGGGGCCCACCCAAGGGGAGUACCUCGCGGAGACCUCUUAACGCGUUGGUCAAAUUUUAUCGGUUGGCCGCUGGCGAAGCCUUUAAACUCCGUCGUCGGUUGGACGGUGCUAACUACCUACUACGCUGGCGUCGAUGACGUUUUGAACCUAGUGGACCGGUCGGGUUUGGUUUAUUCCUUUCCCUUCCGCCUAUUAUUCUUAACCUCUCUCGUUCGUUGGCAGGUUGGUUGGUGACGCUCUUUGCGUUCGGCGGGCUUCGUUACGCGCGCCUUCCGUUUUGCUCCUUCGCUCGAGAUGCUUACGAGCUUCGCUCUCCCGGUGGCAACCCGCUCGGAUACGUGUUUUUAAUAAACCCGUCGGUUCUCGCGGGGUGCUCUUUACCGAGUGUCUCGCGUGGCCGGCAACGUUCACUUUGAAAAAAUUAGAGUGCUCAAAGCAGGCAGAAUUUCACGCCUGAAUGUAUAUGCUUAGGAUGAAGGAACAGGACCUCGGUUCUGCAAUUUAUUUUUCUCUCGGUUUUUAUCGAACCGAGGUAAUGAUUAACGGGGGCGGACGGGGGCAUUGGUAUUGCCACGCGAGAGGUGAAAUUCUAAGACCGUCGCAAGACUAACUACUGCGAAAGCAUUUGCCAAGAACGCUUUCAUUAAUCAAGAACGAAAGUUAGAGGAUCGAAGGCGAUCAGAUACCGCCCUAGUUCUAACCUUAAACGAUGCCAACUAGCGAUCCGCUUAAGUCAUUCCCACGACUGGGCGGGCAGCCCAGGGAAACCAAAGUUUUUGGGUUCCGGGGGAAGUAUGGUUGCAAAGCUGAAACUUCUUAAAGGAAUUGACGGAAGGCACCACCAGGAGUGGAGCUGCGGCUUAAUUUGACUCAACACGGGGAAACUCACCAGGCCCAGACACCGGAAGGAUUGACAGAUUGAGAGCUCUUUCUCGAUUCGGUGGUUGGUGGUGCAUGGCCGUUCUUAGUUGGUGGAGCGAUUUGUCUGGUUAAUUCCGAUAACGAACGAGAUUCUCGCCUACUAACUAGUCGGCGGAUCGUUACCCGAGACGGGUUUCCUGCCGGAGUUAAACGGUCGUGGCAUCGGCUUCUCUUCUCGCGUUCGUCCGCGCUUGCUUCUGGGGAAGUUCCGGGGUGGAGUCGUUGGCUUUGGCGUCCAGGGGGUCUUUCGAGGCUUCCGAAGCGUCGGAGUCACCUCCCUUCGAGCGACUCUUUGAGGUAUUGCGCGUUAUGGGCGGCGCGGGGUCUUGAGGGUCGUACACGUCGCGACGAAGUUUGCUUUGCGAGUAGGGCCCUGAAUGGGGCGUCCGUCGCAACCUCUUCUUAGGGGGAUUGGCGGUGUCCAGCCGUAAGAGAGAGAGCAAUAACAGGUCUGUUGAAUGCCCUUAGAUGUUCUGGGCCGCACGCGCGCUACAAUGAAGGGAUCAGCGUGCUUCCUCCCUCCGAAAGGAGUGGGUAACCACUGAAACCCCUCCCCGAUUGGGAUUGGGGAUUGUAAAUGUUUCCCCAUGAACGAGGAAUUCCUAGUAAGCGCGAGUCAUUAGCUCGCGCUGAUUACGUCCCUGCCCUUUGUACACACCGCCCGUCGCUACUACCGAUUGAAUGAUUAAGUGAGGGCGUCGGACCAUCGCCCACGGUCUAUAAGCCGAAGAUAGCGCCAAAGUCUUGGGGAAUCCUCGUUCGCGGGGCCCUCUCGACUGCUUUCGACGGUAGACCCCGGGUUUGACGGAAAGACGUCCGAACUUGAUUAUUUAGAGGAAGUAAAAGUCGUAACAAGGUUUCCGUAGGUGAACCUGCGGAAGGAUCAUUA